AGUGGGAGGUGAUUGGAUCAUGGGGGUGGUUUCUGCCAUGCUGUUCUCACGGUAGUGAGGGAGUUCUGACAAGAGCUGAUGGUUUUAAGUGUGGCACCUCCUUGCUCUUGCUCUUUCUCUCUCCUGCCGCCAUCUAAGACACGCCUUACUUCCCCUUUGCCUUCCGCCAUGAUUGUUAAGUUUCCUCAGGCCACCCCAGCCCUGCAGAACUAAGUGACUCUCCAGGGGAGCUAAAAUCCAUGUAUUUGGGCACACACUUGAACAAUAUUGCUAGAGAAAUUUAAGCAAGAGCACAAAGAAAGAAUCAUCUGAAAGGAAUGUGGAGAUCAGAGAAAAAUGAUGGGAAAGUUACCACAGCCUGCAAAUGAGAAAUGAUGAGAGCCUGCCUGGGUUUUGCCAGGACGAUUAAAUAUCAUUGAUGCUUCUGGUCUACAAUUAGUCAGAGAAGAGAUUAAAAAAAUGAUGAGUAUUCAAGAAGGAAAGUGUUUGCUUUAACAUAUGAAGAAAAGGAGCUUCAGAGUGGUGAUUAACCCCAGAAUUGUGUGGAACGGAUAUGGAAACAAGACCACAGGAGCAUCGAGAACUGAGCAGAACUGAAGGUGACAUGAAAAUCAGCUGCAAGAUUCACCUCAGGGUGAUAAUGGGCUGCAGGUGGCUGCAGGAAUCCCGGGACAUUCUAGGCACUGCCAUAUUUUCUUAGGGGCCAGUAAGGAUGGCUAUCAUCAGAUGUACCUGAUGAUACAAACAUGGGCUGUCUUGCCUUCUAGUAUUCAUUCUUGAUGAUUGCAUCCAGAGCUCACUUUGGAGGUGCAGAUCAACUCUUCUUCAGGCUCAUCCAUGCGACUUGAGUGGGCUCUCAUCCCCAUUCCCAGGGGCUUAUGACAAUCAAGGUUUCCACUCCUCCAUGGUCUCAAUGGUUUUUCUCCCCAUGGGAAGCACAUAAUCCCAUUAGAGGCCACGGGAAGCUUUUUUGUUGGGCUUUGAGGGAAAAAAGGCUUUUGCAGCCAAUGAAUCGAUCAAUGUGUACUUCAACCUGGAUUGUAUGUAUGCAUCUCCUAGAUUGGGCGGAUGAUGAAGUGAGGCUGGAAGUGCUGAGCAUCUUCCUACCUGGGAUGACUGGGCUGAGCAGGAAGCCUACCCCGGGGUUCCAGCCAAGUUGGAGCCUGUGAGUGUGUGGUGUAGUUUAACGCCCUGAUUAAAUCACUAGGAAGCCAUUUCUCUCUCUCCUCCCAGACCAGAUCAGACAAUAUGUUCCCUUAUUUCUACUAAAGCCCCAAUUGGAUUUUGUGUCUUUUGAUACUGAAAGAAUCUUACCACAAAUAAAAUAAUUUGUCAUGUGGCUCCUACAUAUUUAUUCAGUUACAUAAACUAACUAAAUAAAUGAAUAAACUGUCA
Homo sapiens (human) is the source of this 1395-nucleotide long non-coding RNA. The record is from Ensembl. NCBI's taxonomy places the organism in Eukaryota, Metazoa, Chordata, Mammalia, Primates, Hominidae.